CGUAGGAGGCGAGCGUUAUCCGGAUUCACUGGGCGUAAAGCGCGUGCAGGCGGUUUGGUAAGUUGGGCGUGAAAGCUCCCGGCUCAACUGGGAGAGGUCGUUCAAUACUACCGAACUGGAGAGUAGAAGAGGAAGAUGGAAUUCCCGGUGUAGUGGUGAAAUGCGUAGAUAUCGGGAGGAACACCAGUGGCGAAGGCGAUCUUCUGGUCUAUUUCUGACGCUCAGACGCGACAGCUAGGGUAGUAAACGGGAUUAGAGACCCCGGUAAUCCUAGCCGUAAACGAUGUGAACUUGGCGUCGGUGGCUUAAACACCAUCGGUGCCGAAGCAAACGCGAUAAGUUCACCGCCUGGGGACUACGGCCGCAAGGCUA
Molecule: ribosomal RNA, 372 nt
Filed under: uncultured organism
Description: bacterial SSU rRNA
Rfam family: Bacterial small subunit ribosomal RNA
Source: RNAcentral